RNAcentral lists this small nuclear RNA (289 nucleotides) under Mustela putorius furo (domestic ferret). RNAcentral describes it as "7SK RNA (ENSMPUG00000020882.1)". It matches the Rfam family "7SK RNA", at positions 1 to 290 of the family's 331-position model. From Rfam's summary of the family: 7SK was discovered as an abundant small nuclear RNA in the mid-70s but a possible function has only recently been suggested. Two independent studies have found that 7SK RNA binds the CDK9/cyclin T complex (known as elongation factor P-TEFb). Lineage: Eukaryota; Metazoa; Chordata; Mammalia; Carnivora; Mustelidae. The record is from RNAcentral.
GGAUGUGAGGGCGAUCUGGCUGCGACAUCUGUCACCCCAUUGAUCGCCAGGGUUGAUUCGGCUGAUCAGGCUGGCUAGGCGGGUGUCCCCUUCCUCCCUCACCGCUCCAUGUGCGUCCCUCCCGAAGCUGCGCGCUCGGUCGAAGAGGACGACCUUCCCCGAUAGAGGAGAGGACCGGUCUUCGGUCAAGGGUAUACGAGUAGCUGCGCUCCCCUGCUAGAACCUCCAAACAAGCUCUCAAGAUACAUAUUUUUGAUGCAGAGAAGUGCACGUCCCUCUUUUCCUAAAA